CACCGAGACACAAGGGCUGGAGGUGGUGCUUGGCGUCGGCGACCGCUGCACCGUCACCAAAGCCAUCUAGAGAGCCCCGGACGCGGUCAGUCGCAUCCUCGUCAGCAGUGCUCCGUAAAUUGGUCCAGAGCAGAGUGGAGAGCCAGCGAGAUCGCAUCCACCGUUGAUCUGUUCUGGCGGUGAGCGAACUGCAAUGGGUCCAGGUUUUUGUCGAGAUAUGAAACCUCUGACUCAGGCAUUAUCUUUCAGUGCCAGAUGGUGACUGAAAUAAGACACGUAUCCUGGGAGUGGACGCAUGAAAACUUGGAAUAAGUAUUCAUUAACGUUUGAUCUUAACUUUCAUUCCCAAUCUUCUUUUUGCGUAUGGCGUGCACUGCCUAAAGUUGUAGGACAACUUGUUCUAUUUGAUCUUAUUUGAUUGUGCAUGCCAGGUUGAUUACAUUCGUCGAAACAGGUUGCAAUCUCCCACCCCAUUCCCAAUCAAAACAGACAUACCCCUUGAACCAUAUCACAAACCAGGCUUUCAGCAAAAGUGUUAGGAAUGUUUAACAGUCAAAUGUACCAGGAACAGAACAAUUACAUUCUUAAUCAUUGUGGUUCUACUAAGGCAUACUAAUGCAACAACACAACAAAUAAAUCAAUAAACAAUAAUCAAUAAUAUCAUGAACUGGAUCAGCAGUACUAUGUAAACAGGCCAUGAGAGUGCAAACUGAAGUACCUAGUGUAACAUAAACAAAGUCCAUAGCAGAUCAUAGUUGCCGAUAGAGAAUUGUGGGGAGAGUGGUGCAACGUUCAAGAGCCUGCUGGUUGUUGGGGAGAGUCUUGAACCCUAUCGACCUCAUUAAUAGAUAGUCCUGAACUACUAUCAUUGGUGGCCCUCAUUGGUGACCCUCGGACUAUCCUUGAUCGGACUUUGCGGGCUUUACCUUGCACUAAACGUUAUUCCCUUAUCAUGCAUCUGUACACUGUAAAUGGAUCAAUUGUAAUCGUGUAUUGUCUUUCCGCUGACUGGAUAGCACACAACAAAGGCUUUUCACUGUACCUCGGUACACGUGACAAUUAACUAAACUAAAUUGAUCACGACGGUCACAGUUCUCAGCCUCCUUUCUCUUCUCCUCAAGGGUAGCAGCAUGAUUGGAAUGUAUAAGAAUGGUCUCGACCCGAAACGUCACUCAUUCCUUCUCUUCAGAGAUGCUGCCUGUCCCACUGAGUUCCUCCAGCUUUUUGUGUCUACAGUAUCUUUGAUUGGAAUGUGGGUUGGUUCUUUGAUGAUCCAGGCUGUCGUUUUGCGGAAGACCCUUCGAUGGUGGUGAGGUCAGUACCCAUGAUAACCAGGGCAAUGUUCACCACUUUCUGCAGCCUCCUUAGUUCAAGUUACUGAGCCAUGCUGGGAUGCAACCAGUCAGUCUGCCC
Leucoraja erinaceus (little skate) is the source of this 1413-nucleotide long non-coding RNA. RefSeq lists it as uncharacterized. The transcript has 3 exons. The record is from RefSeq and is a predicted model, not a curated record. NCBI's taxonomy places the organism in Eukaryota, Metazoa, Chordata, Chondrichthyes, Rajiformes, Rajidae.